Molecule: long non-coding RNA, 865 nt
Filed under: Panax ginseng (ginseng)
Lineage: Eukaryota; Viridiplantae; Streptophyta; Magnoliopsida; Apiales; Araliaceae
Description: long non-coding RNA (PGIN_LNC007599)
Source: RNAcentral
CAUAGUGUUUUUCAUAGUAAAAUCUUUUUAUAUAAAACAAAAUACUUUUAUAAAGUUAUUCGUUUUAUUAGAUUAUAAAUAGAAUAUAUUAUAUUUUAUUUAAAAAUUUUUGUUUUAUUUGAAUAUUUUAUUAAAUCAAUAUAGACCGUCCGAUUAAAAGUAAAUCAAUCUGAAUCGUUCAUGAAUUAGUUACUAUUCAGUCCAUUCUCCUAUAAAUAGAAGCUCAUUCCUUCAUUAUUUCUUACGAAUUCACUGAAGCUCUAGAGAGAGAAACUAUAGAGAGAGUUCUUCUUUUGUAAUCUCGAGCGUAUUUCUUUAGAGUUUAAGAAAGCUUUGAGCGUAGAAGAAAGUGCAAGUUUUCUUCAAGUAUAUUCCCGCCCUACCAGUCGGAAUACUCUUCUUUUACGGUAAGGGGUAUUAUUUCUUUCUUAUUCAUGAAGAGAACUUCUAUUAUUACAUUAUUUAUUAUUCUGUUGGAAUAACCUGUAUACGCAGGAUACCCUAUACUUGGUGAAAUUCUUCUGUUAUUCCAUUCUUUAUCAUUAUGUUGGAAUAACAUGUCUAUUCGAAGUACCGCAUACAUGGUAAAAUUCAUCUGUUAGUCCAUUUUUUAUUAUUUUGUUGGAACAUCUUGUCUGUGCGUUACGCAUGACCUGGUUCCGUUAUUUAUUAUUCUGUUGAAAUAUCCUGUCUGUGUGUUUACGUAUGACCUGGUUCCAUUAUUUAUUAUUCUUUUGGAAUAUCCUGUCAGUGCUUUACGCAUGCCCUGGUUCUAUUAUUUAUCAUUCUGUUGGAACAUCCUGUCUGUGUUUUACGCAUGACCUGGUUCCAUUAUUUAUUAUUCUGUUGGAAUAUCCUGUCUGUG